Non-coding RNA from Astrephomene gubernaculifera, 112 nucleotides. The record is from the annotation of a GenBank genome assembly. Lineage: Eukaryota; Viridiplantae; Chlorophyta; Chlorophyceae; Chlamydomonadales; Astrephomenaceae.
AAAUUGCCGGUAGUUUAUACAAAUGGCAAUGGAUCAUACACACACAUUCAGACAUUGAGCGGUAAGGUCCAAUGUCGAGAGGAGAACAGUCCAGAGGUGGAGCUAAGGUACC